Long non-coding RNA from Diceros bicornis minor, 881 nucleotides. RefSeq lists it as uncharacterized. The transcript is spliced from 2 exons. The record is from RefSeq and is a predicted model, not a curated record. Lineage: Eukaryota; Metazoa; Chordata; Mammalia; Perissodactyla; Rhinocerotidae.
GUGAAAAAUGAAAACAAAGUCAACAAAGACAAAUAGUAUCCCUCCACCACUGAUACAUCAACCAGCACUGGAUCUGCUGAAUCAUGUGCCCAAGUGCUGAGCACUCUCUUGUUCUGGGCCCCAAAACUAACAAUUAACCCCUUUGUUGUGUGUGUGUAUUUGUGUGUGUGUGAGAGAGAGAGAGAGAUACAGAGACACAGAGAGAGAAUCUGUGGUAAGAAAUGCAGGAUGCUUGGGUGGAAUGGAUGGAAUGGAUGGAUGGACAGAUGGAUGACGGAGGGAUGGAUGGGUCGAUUAUUGGUUGGAUGACUUGGUGGAUUUUCUCUCUGAAGCAUCUAUGAUUCCACAGAUAUUUCCCAGCUAUCCUUCUGACACUUUUCCUCCCUCUAAGAAGACCGUCUCAAUAACUCAAGAUCCAAUCAUCCUGAUCUCAUCCAACGUUUGUGAAACUCCUAAGCUCUAUGAUGAGAUGGCUCAAGCUCAGGAAGCCAUGUUGGAAUGUGAGGUGAAAACCAAGCUGAAGAUCAUGCAGCAAGAGAAAGAGUCUGGAUCCUUGACUCCAUGAUGAAGCAUCAGAGCCCAGAGCAGCCUCAAGACUUACGUGAAAGUGAAAUCAACUCCAUUCUUGUCUUCCCCUACUAUUGUCGCCUGUGUUCUUUCACAGGUGCCCAAAUCUAAUCCUAACCAAUACAGCAUUUAAUUCCCCACCCUGCCUUUGGCACACUUGGUUGCUACAUUCUGGCUCAGUUCUGGAGCUGCAAUCCCUGUAGUUCUCCAAAAAGUAGAAGGGAACCUGGCUGAUAAGUCUUACCCUGCAAACACAUUAGAGAUGAUAGUCCUGAACAGGACUAACACUAAUAAAAGUGGGACAAUAAUGGUUA